This 905-nucleotide ribosomal RNA is filed under the name uncultured bacterium. RNAcentral describes it as "bacterial SSU rRNA". It matches the Rfam family "Bacterial small subunit ribosomal RNA", at positions 1 to 920 of the family's 1533-position model. The record is from RNAcentral.
CGCCCCCGCCCGAGAGUUUGAUCCUGGCUCAGGAUGAACGUUGGCGGUGUGCCUAAUACAUGCAAGUCGAACGGAGUUAAUAGCAAUAUUGACUUAGUGGCGAACAGGUGAGUAACGCGUUGGUGAUCUGCCUCGAAGUGUGGAAUAACGUUCCGAAAGGAACGCUAAUACCGCAUGUGCUCUCGAUUUUUAGAAAGUUGAGAGUAAAGGAUUUAUUCGCUUCGAGAGGAGCCUGCGUCCCAUCAGCUGGUUGGUAGGGUAACGGCCUACCAAGGCUAUGACGGGUAGGGGACCUGAGAGGGUGGCCCCCCACAAUGGAACUGAAACACGGUCCAUACACCUACGGGUGGCAGCAGUAGGGAAUAUUAGAAAUGGACGAAAGUCUGAUCUAGCAACACCGCGUGUGCGAAGAAGGCCUUCGGGUCGUAAAGCACUUUUUGGAAGGAAUAGGAAGGAAUGUACUUCCAGAAUAAGUCUCGGCUAACUACGUGCCGGCAGCCGCGGUAACACGUAGGAGGCGAACGUUAUCCGGAUUUACUGGGCGUAAAGCGCGUGCAGGUGGUUCUGUAAGUAGGGCGUGAAAGCUCCCGGCUCAACUGGGAGAGGCCGUUCUAAACUGUAGAACUAGAGGAUGGUAGAGGGAGGUGGAAUUCCAGGUGUAGCGGUGGAAUGCGCAGAUAUCUGGAGGAACACCAGUGGCGAAGGCGGCCUCCUGGACCAUUCCUGACACUCAGACGCGAAAGCUAGGGUAGCAAACGGGAUUAGAGACCCCGGUAGUCCUAGCCCUAAACGAUGUAGACUAGGCGUCGGUGGUUUAAUCACCAUCGGUGUCCAAGCUAACGCGAUAAGUCUACCGCCUGGGGACUACGGCCGCAAGGUUAAAACUCAAAGGAAUCUUUCUAGAA